AUUUUGAAGGGCUGGGAUGAUGCCACAUGGCAGCAGUUAGACAUAAGGGUAUAAUUGACCUCAUAGUAUAACUGUAAGGGUAUAAUUAGCCCUAAAGUAUAACGAAGGGUAUGAAUGAACUAUUUUUCAAAGUUCAGGGGUAAUUUUGGCCCUUUUCCGUUAUUUUAAUCCGUAACCCAUAACCCAUUUUCCCAUCCCAUAAAAUCAUACAACCCUAGUUCAUUUUAUUUUAGAAAGAGAGGAAAUCACCCCAUUUAUAGUAACAUACGCAGAUGGAUUUGGAAACUCCAGCGAAUCUAAUUUCUUGAAGGUUGGAUUCUCACUAGAUAUGGUACAGAAAAGGUCAAUGCCAAAUAAAUAAACAUAUUUGCAUUAAAACUUGCUUAGACAAUGCCAUGGUCAAUUGUAGACCAUGCAGCCAUGUUUUUUUUUUAUUGCAAGACCACGUAGAGUGAUGAUUAGUAUGAAACAUUAUUCUGGUUUUGUUUUGUUUUUUUGUUUGUUUGUUUUUUUUUUUUUUUUUUUUGGAGAGAUGAGGAAACUGGGGAUUCCUUUUGAUGAUUAUAGCUUGACUAUUGUGAUUAAUUCUUUUUGUUUGUUGGGUUGUGCUGAACAUGGAUUUUCAGAGCUGAGUAUUUUCUUGAAGAAUGGUGUUGAGUUUAAUAUUGUUACCUUCAGUACUCUUAUAAGGGGACUUUUUGAACAAACUAAGAUUAAGGAUGCCAUGUGGUUGCUUAAUAAGCUGGUAACAGAGAGAAUUUGUAAGAUGGAUGAAGUUAUGUUUGGUAUUGUCAUGAAUGGGUCUGUUUUAUACUACUUUUUAGGGGUUGGGAGCCUACGUGUUUUUUUUUUUUUUUUUUUUUGUGUGUUGUGGAGUUCAAGUCACAAUUUCAUCCAUAGAAGGGCAAAUUUAUCAAGUAUCUUAACCGAAAAAACAAAUUUGAUUCCAAAUUUUAUCGGAGGACAAAUUUAAACUAUAAAUUAUACUUGGAGGGUAAAUUUGACCCUUUGCCCAUCUCAGAAAGAUUAUGGAAUACAUUUAAAACGUGUAUGUAUUUAUCACCAUCUAUAAAAGACGAAGUUAUCCACAUCAACCAAAGAGUACACUUCUAAGUCUUAACUUUUUUUCGAUCUUCUCUUUCACUGUCACCAUGAAUCAAUUCUUCAAGAAUUCAAGACUGGUUGGUAGGUUCUUUCAUUUCAGUAAAAUAAACCAAAAAAAAUACUCAAAGGCCUCACCAAUUUUGCAAUAUUUCUGAGUCUUGGAGAUCUAUGGAAGGUCUUGUUAAAUGUGAUGCAAAUUUUUUUCCAUUGACACCCUUAAGUUUCUUGGAAAGAGCAGCUAAUGUUUUUAGAGAUAGAACUAGUGUUAUUUACGGGGAAAAAUUGAAGUAUAAUUGGGAAGAGACUCAUGAUAGGUGUGUAAAGCUUGCUUCUGCUUUGGUUCACUUGGGGAUUUCUCAUGGUGAUGUGAUUUUGGACGAAACGGGAGUUGAGUUUGGGCGAGCGUAAGACGCAAGUAAGGUAUGUAAAGCUAUCUCUUUCCUUCUUUUGGCAUGUCCUAGAUAUACUAGGUUUGGAUUUGAACCUCGGGAAAUAUUCUGCUCAUAGAAAUCCGAGUUUACUUUUUGCACUAUUCCAUUCAGCAUAAUUGUAUUAGAACUUUGAUAUUUUGUUGGAAAGAAUGUUCAAACAUUCGUAAUCUUCAUAAAUAUGACCGAAUCACCCCUAAGCUUUCAUGGAUGACUCCAUAAGGUCUAGUGUUUGUAAAUUUCGUACGCACCUCGACUUGACCCGAGGUGGGCCCACUAGUCCCGAGAUUUCCUUCGUAUGUCUUACUUAAUCUAUUUUUGUAUAAGAUAAAAAGGGGACUUUCGCCUACGAAUCUAAGGCUUCGUUUGAUUUGUUCCGUAAGUUGUUUGAAAGCUCCCUAGUGUGAAUGAUACUAAACUUUCAGAAAAUGGUUUGUGAGGCAUUUUUCGAAAGUGUUAUAAAAUUAAAGGCUCAUAUCUUUUGUAUACUAAUUCCGACAGACUCGAUACUUAAUUUGGGCUUUUUGAUAUCAAAAUAUAUGUAUAUGUAUCUAUUUGUCGAGUUUUGGAAUUUAAUUAUGUAUAUGCAUAUGAUUUCCGCACUACUCUGCUCGUGCCUACUACUAUGAUAUCGUUCGCCGGUUCCCGGGCCGGUUUUGUGAUCUUGCGCACUAUGACAAAUUCGACAGUAUGAUGUGUUACGGUUCCCGAGACCUCGCCAUAGGGCCGGGUACCGUUUAUGGAGUUAUGUUGUGAUAUGGCUUAUGAUACGAUUUGAUGAUGUGAUAUGUUAUGUUCGGGGUUGUACGGAGAUUUGAAACCUUCUAGAGUAUGCUGUGUUGUGGCACCAGUGUCGGAGUGGUGACCACGUUCCUGAGCCUUAUGCAUGAUUUCUGUUUGCAUUAUGUACAUAUGUCUUCAGUACAGGUUUUGAUAUAUUGAUCCGGUAUUUUCUCUCUGUACCUUUCACUUCAGUUGCAGUUUGGAUUUCUGUACUCUAUGCUUUACAUACUCAGUACAUCUUUCGUACUGACCCCCUUUCUUUGAGGGCUGCGUUUCAAGCCCGCAGGUACAGAGGUUCGCGAUCUGCCAGUGUAGGCCAUAUAUUCUGCUAUGACAGAGUGCUCCUUUUGAUCCGGAGCUCAUAUGUUGGUACAUAUCUUUUAUGAUGCAUAUAUUUCUGUACAUUUGACUAUUUGGGGUACGGCGGGGCCCUGUCCCGUCAUAUGACUCUGUUAUGAUUUGUAGAGGCCUGUAGUCAUAUAUGUGGGUCAUGGGUCACGUGUGUGUUCGUUUGUUUAUGAUCUGCGUCUUAAUGCGGUCCCGUUUACUAUUAUGGCCAAAAUGGCCCAUUUGUUUGUAUACGUGUAUGUAUCUGGCGAUGUAUAUUCCGCCAACCUAUCAGAUUUGAAUACGGCCAAAUGGCCUAUAUAUUUGUAUUUGUGUAUAUGCGCGGCGAUGUGUAUCCCGCCGCCCCUUUUGGCUUUGAUAUGA
Long non-coding RNA from Lycium barbarum (goji berry), 3026 nucleotides. RefSeq lists it as uncharacterized. Lineage: Eukaryota; Viridiplantae; Streptophyta; Magnoliopsida; Solanales; Solanaceae. The transcript has 2 exons. The record is from RefSeq and is a predicted model, not a curated record.